CAAUAGCGUAUAUUAAAGUUGUUGCAGUUAAAAAGCUCGUAGUUGGAUUUCUGGUUGAAGCGACCGGUCGGGCGUUGAUUCGUCUGCACUGGAGUCGGUUUUGGCCAUCCUCUAGGAAAGUGCGUCUGGUAUUAAGUUAUCGGGCGUACGAUCCUGGUCUUUUACUGUGAAAAAAUUAGAGUGUUUAAAGCAGGCCUUCGCCUUGAAUACAUUAGCAUGGAAUAAUAAGAUAGGACUUUGGUCUAUUUUGUUGGUUUGCAGACCGAAGUAAUGAUUAAUAGGGAUAGUUGGGGGUAUUUAUAUUCCGAUGUCAGAGGUGAAAUUCUUAGAUUUUCGGAAGAUAAACUUAUGCGAAAGCAUUUACCAAGGAUGUUUUCAUUAA
Molecule: ribosomal RNA, 382 nt
Filed under: uncultured eukaryote
Lineage: Eukaryota
Description: partial 18S ribosomal RNA
Rfam family: Eukaryotic small subunit ribosomal RNA
Source: RNAcentral